GACAGAGGGUGCAAACGUUGUUCGGAAUUACUGGGCGUAAAGCGCGUGUAGGCGGCUUUGCAAGUCGGAUGUGAAAGCCCACGGCUCAACCGUGGAAGUGCAUCCGAAACUGCAUGGCUUGAGUCUCGGAGAGGAAGGUGGAAUGCUUGGUGUAGAGGUGAAAUUCGUAGAUAUCAAGCAGAACACCUGCGGCGAAGGCGGCCUUCUGGACGAUGACUGACGUGAGACGCGAAAGCGUGGGGAGCAAACAGG
Molecule: ribosomal RNA, 252 nt
Filed under: uncultured bacterium
Lineage: Bacteria
Description: partial 16S ribosomal RNA
Rfam family: Bacterial small subunit ribosomal RNA
Source: RNAcentral